UUAAAAUAUAUAUAUCGUUACAUCUUUUGGUGUUGCGGAUCUGGGUUAUCCGGUUUUAAGUCGGUUACCUAAAAUUAAGGAUUAUAUAAUGUGAUACGUACUAAGAUAAAGUCGUUAAUCAUUACUUUUAUUACAUUAUUACCAAAUACAUUUGGUUGGUGGUGUAUAAUUUCUGA
RNAcentral lists this unclassified non-coding RNA (176 nucleotides) under uncultured Glomeromycetes. RNAcentral's name for it is "sequence contains ITS2". The record is from RNAcentral. Lineage: Eukaryota; Fungi; Glomeromycota; Glomeromycetes.